GAUGAACGCUGGCGGCGUGCCUAGUACAUGCAAGUCGAACGAAACUUCUUUAUCACCGAGUGCUUGCACUCACCGAUAAAGAGUUGAGUGGCGAACGGGUGAGUAACACGUGGGCAACCUGCCCAAAAGAGGGGGAUAACACUUGGAAACAGGUGCUAAUACCGCAUAACCAUAGUUACCGCAUGGUAACUAUGUAAAAGGUGGCUAUGCUACCGCUUUUGGAUGGGCCCGCGGCGCAUUAGCUAGUUGGUGAGGUAAGGGCUUACCAAGGCAAUGAUGCGUAGCCGAACUGAGAGGUUGAUCGGCCACAUUGGGACUGAGACACGGCCCAAACUCCUACGGGAGGCAGCAGUAGGGAAUCUUCCACAAUGGGCGAAAGCCUGAUGGAGCAACGCCGCGUGGGUGAAGAAGGUCUUCGGAUCGUAAAACCCUGUUGUUAGAGAAGAAAGUGCGUGAGAGUAACUGUUCACGUUUCGACGGUAUCUAACCAGAAAGCCACGGCUAACUACGUGCCAGCAGCCGCGGUAAUACGUAGGUGGCAAGCGUUAUCCGGAUUUAUUGGGCGUAAAGGGAACGCAGGCGGUCUUUUAAGUCUGAUGUGAAAGCCUUCGGCUUAACCGGAGUAGUGCAUUGGAAACUGGGAGACUUGAGUGCAGAAGAGGAGAGUGGAACUCCAUGUGUAGCGGUGAAAUGCGUAGAUAUAUGGAAGAACACCAGUGGCGAAAGCGGCUCUCUGGUCUGUAACUGACGCUGAGGUUCGAAAGCGUGGGUAGCAAACAGGAUUAGAUACCCUGGUAGUCCACGCCGUAAACGAUGAAUGCUAAGUGCUGGAGGGUUUCUGCCCUUCAGUGCUGCAGCUAACGCAAUAAGCAUUCCGCCUGGGGAGUACGACCGCAAGGUUGAAACUCAAAGGAAUUGACGGGGGCCCGCACAGGCGGUGGAGCAUGUGGUUUAAUUCGAAGCAACGCGAAGAACCUUACCAGGUCUUGACAUCUUCUGACAAUCCUAGAGAUAGGACUUUCCCUUCGGGGACAGAAUGACAGGUGGUGCAUGGUUGUCGUCAGCUCGUGUCGUGAGAUGUUGGGUUAAGUCCCGCAACGAGCGCAACCCUUAUUGUUAGUUGCCAGCAUUAAGUUGGGCACUCUAGCAAGACUGCCGGUGACAAACCGGAGGAAGGUGGGGAUGACGUCAAAUCAUCAUGCCCCUUAUGACCUGGGCUACACACGUGCUACAAUGGACGGUACAACGAGUCGCAAGACCGCGAGGUUUAGCAAAUCUCUUAAAGCCGUUCUCAGUUCGGAUUGUAGGCUGCAACUCGCCUACAUGAAGUCGGAAUCGCUAGUAAUCGCGGAUCAGCAUGCCGCGGUGAAUACGUUCCCGGGCCU
RNAcentral lists this ribosomal RNA (1385 nucleotides) under uncultured bacterium. RNAcentral's name for it is "16S ribosomal RNA". It matches the Rfam family "Bacterial small subunit ribosomal RNA", at positions 28 to 1381 of the family's 1533-position model. The record is from RNAcentral.